RNAcentral lists this transfer RNA (90 nucleotides) under Mycoplasmopsis arginini. Its description in RNAcentral is "tRNA-Ala". It matches the Rfam family "tRNA". Rfam says of the family: Transfer RNA (tRNA) molecules are approximately 80 nucleotides in length. Their secondary structure includes four short double-helical elements and three loops (D, anti-codon, and T loops). Lineage: Bacteria; Bacillati; Mycoplasmatota; Mycoplasmoidales; Metamycoplasmataceae. The record is from RNAcentral.
AGUCAGGUGGCGGAACUGGUAGACGUUAUACUAUUGGCUUAAGCAACUUAUAGUGAAGCUUAUUACAGGUUCGAAUCCUGUCCUGACUAC